UCGCUGUGAUGAAGUUACUCCUAACAUUCGCAGUUUGCACCUGAGGUUUAAAAACCAAAGAUGGCUUUUCAGCCCUUCCUUGGAUGUCUGAGCGA
Small nucleolar RNA from Gadus morhua (Atlantic cod), 95 nucleotides. Its record names the gene SNORD14. It matches the Rfam family "Small nucleolar RNA SNORD14". Rfam says of the family: U14 small nucleolar RNA (U14 snoRNA) is required for early cleavages of eukaryotic precursor rRNAs. In yeasts, this molecule possess a stem-loop region (known as the Y-domain) which is essential for function. NCBI's taxonomy places the organism in Eukaryota, Metazoa, Chordata, Actinopteri, Gadiformes, Gadidae. The record is from Ensembl.